This 492-nucleotide ribosomal RNA is filed under the name Diplommatina gomantongensis. RNAcentral describes it as "partial 16S ribosomal RNA". It matches the Rfam family "Bacterial large subunit ribosomal RNA", at positions 1816 to 2597 of the family's 2925-position model. Lineage: Eukaryota; Metazoa; Mollusca; Gastropoda; Architaenioglossa; Diplommatinidae. The record is from RNAcentral.
GGCUCUUUGAAAAAGACAAAGAGUUUAAUCUGCCCGGUGAUUUUCUUUUAACGGCUGCGGUACUCUGACCGUACAAAGGUAGCACAAUAACUUGUCUUAUAAUUGAAGAAUGGAAUGAAUGAUUUAACAAGGGUGAAACUGUCUCUUAUAUAAUUUUUAUAAAUUGACUUUUAGGUUAAAAGGCCUAAAUAAAAUAAAAAGACGAGAAGACCCUAUUGUGCUUGAUGGAGAUAUCAAAAAAUUUUAUUAAUUUUUUGAUAUUAAAUUUUAGUUGGGGCGACUAAGGAAUAAUAAAAACUUCCUAUAAAUUAUAUAUAGUAAUUACUUAGGAUCCAAAUUAUUUUGAAGAAAGAAUAAGUUACCAUAGGGAUAACAGCGUUAUUUUCUUUUAGAGUUCAAAUCGAAAAGAAAGAUUGCGACCUCGAUGUUGGAUUAGGGAUAAUAGAGGUUGCAGGAGCUUCUAUGAUUGGUCUGUUCGACCAUUAGAAUCCU